UGACAAGUCGAACGAACUCUGGUAUUGAUUGGUGCUUGCAUCAUGAUUUACAUUUGAGUGAGUGGCGAACUGGUGAGUAACACGUGGGAAACCUGCCCAGAAGCGGGGGAUAACACCUGGAAACAGAUGCUAAUACCGCAUAACAACUUGGACCGCAUGGUCCGAGCUUGAAAGAUGGCUUCGGCUAUCACUUUUGGAUGGUCCCGCGGCGUAUUAGCUAGAUGGUGGGGUAACGGCUCACCAUGGCAAUGAUACGUAGCCGACCUGAGAGGGUAAUCGGCCACAUUGGGACUGAGACACGGCCCAAACUCCUACGGGAGGCAGCAGUAGGGAAUCUUCCACAAUGGACGAAAGUCUGAUGGAGCAACGCCGCGUGAGUGAAGAAGGGUUUCGGCUCGUAAAACUCUGUUGUUAAAGAAGAACAUAUCUGAGAGUAACUGUUCAGGUAUUGACGGUAUUUAACCAGAAAGCCACGGCUAACUACGUGCCAGCAGCCGCGGUAAUACGUAGGUGGCAAGCGUUGUCCGGAUUUAUUGGGCGUAAAGCGAGCGCAGGCGGUUUUUUAAGUCUGAUGUGAAAGCCUUCGGCUCAACCGAAGAAGUGCAUCGGAAACUGGGAAACUUGAGUGCAGAAGAGGACAGUGGAACUCCAUGUGUAGCGGUGAAAUGCGUAGAUAUAUGGAAGAACACCAGUGGCGAAGGCGGCUGUCUGGUCUGUAACUGACGCUGAGGCUCGAAAGUAUGGGUAGCAAACAGGAUUAGAUACCCUGGUAGUCCAUACCGUAAACGAUGAAUGCUAAGUGUUGGAGGGUUUCCGCCCUUCAGUGCUGCAGCUAACGCAUUAAGCAUUCCGCCUGGGGAGUACGGCCGCAAGGCUGAAACUCAAAGGAAUUGACGGGGGCCCGCACAAGCGGUGGAGCAUGUGGUUUAAUUCGAAGCUACGCGAAGAACCUUACCAGGUCUUGACAUACUAUGCAAAUCUAAGAGAUUAGACGUUCCCUUCGGGGACAUGGAUACAGGUGGUGCAUGGUUGUCGUCAGCUCGUGUCGUGAGAUGUUGGGUUAAGUCCCGCAACGAGCGCAACCCUUAUUAUCAGUUGCCAGCAUUAAGUUGGGCACUCUGG
Molecule: ribosomal RNA, 1122 nt
Filed under: Lactiplantibacillus plantarum
Lineage: Bacteria; Bacillati; Bacillota; Bacilli; Lactobacillales; Lactobacillaceae
Description: bacterial SSU rRNA
Rfam family: Bacterial small subunit ribosomal RNA
Source: RNAcentral